GGCCCCAUAGAUCAGUGGUUAGAGCAUUGGUUUAGUAAACCAGGGGUCAUGAGUUCAUAUCUCACUGGGGCCU
Molecule: non-coding RNA, 73 nt
Organism: Syngnathoides biaculeatus (alligator pipefish)
Lineage: Eukaryota; Metazoa; Chordata; Actinopteri; Syngnathiformes; Syngnathidae
Source: the annotation of a RefSeq genome assembly